Molecule: transfer-messenger RNA, 393 nt
Filed under: Flavobacteriaceae bacterium
Lineage: Bacteria; Pseudomonadati; Bacteroidota; Flavobacteriia; Flavobacteriales; Flavobacteriaceae
Rfam family: transfer-messenger RNA
About the family: Bacterial tmRNA, also known as 10Sa RNA or SsrA, is named for its dual tRNA and mRNA-like properties.
Source: RNAcentral
GGGGUCGACUGGAUUUGACAGCGAUUUAGUAAUGUUAAUAAGCAAGUCGAGCGAUUAGUUACAGCUCGUUAAUAUCAACUAAAACUUUUAAAUGGCGAAAAUAAAUACGCUCUUGCUGCAUAAAACUGAAUUAUAGUANGUUUUUGCCUCGUCCUACAAGGUAGGAAGGUGAGAUAUCUCAAAAUUAUUUUUGUUGACAAUAAUUUUAUAUGAGAUACCANACNGUUAACAUAGAGUAAUUAAUUCUUCGAUGAUUACUUGAAUUUUAGAAGAUAAGUAGUNUUUGUGUAGUUUUCAGCAANAAUANUAUCGAAAAUUAAAUGAAAACUAAGCUUGUAGAAAGUUNNUAUUUCAGUCGUUUGGACGAGGGUUCGAUUCCCUCCGACUCCACUU